This 302-nucleotide ribosomal RNA is filed under the name uncultured bacterium. Its description in RNAcentral is "partial 16S ribosomal RNA". It matches the Rfam family "Bacterial small subunit ribosomal RNA", at positions 508 to 807 of the family's 1533-position model. The record is from RNAcentral.
GCAGUCGCCACGGUAAUACGGAGGGGGCUAGCGUUGUUCGGAAUUACUGGGCGUAAAGCGCACGUAGGCGGCUUGGUAAGUUAGAGGUGAAAGCCCGGAGCUCAACUCCGGAAUUGCCUUUAAGACUGCCGAGCUAGUAGGUGAGAGAGGUAAGUGGAAUUCCGAGUGUAGAGGUGAAAUUCGUAGAUAUUCGGAAGAACACCAGUGGCGAAGGCGGCUUACUGGCUCAUUCUAGACGCUGAGGUGCGAAAGCGUGGGGAGCAAACAGGAUUAGAGACCCCAGUAGUCCCUGUCUCUUAUAC